This 84-nucleotide transfer RNA is filed under the name Rhodococcoides fascians D188. RNAcentral's name for it is "Rhodococcus fascians D188 tRNA-Asn". The record is from RNAcentral. Lineage: Bacteria; Bacillati; Actinomycetota; Actinomycetes; Mycobacteriales; Nocardiaceae.
CGGCGAUCUGGCCAGCGACAUGGCCCUCGAUGUUCUCGAGGAGAUGAUCGACGUCAAUCCGCCGUUGGGAUCGGCGACCGCGGC